This is a long non-coding RNA of Camarhynchus parvulus, 1255 nucleotides long. RefSeq lists it as uncharacterized. The transcript has 3 exons. NCBI's taxonomy places the organism in Eukaryota, Metazoa, Chordata, Aves, Passeriformes, Thraupidae. The record is from RefSeq and is a predicted model, not a curated record.
UUUGGUUGGGUGAAUAACGAGCAGUGGGCAUAGAUGAUGCCAUUCCUUUAGCUGAAAACCUGGUGUAAUCUAGAGGGGAUACAAAACUGUUUGUGUAGGAAAAUGUAAUGUGAGGGAUGUCAGGGGAGUGAGGUGGCAUUUUUGAGGGAAUUGCUGAGGUAAUUGAAGGGAGACCAGCAGACAGUUUCCCUGGGAAAUCCGAGGCCCCUCGGGCCCACAGCCAGGACUCUCCAGGGCUAAGGGGUCACACUUGAGACUCACUGUGUCCUCCUUCCUUGGCAGCAGCCAGCAGGGAAGGGAGAAGAGGAUCCCUGUGGGAUGAGACUGGAGAGAGCGAGCAGAGGAGCAGCCUCGGGCUGGAGAAAGGCAAAGGGACCAACAUGGUGUCACCAGGGCACCUGUGAGGAACAGAAUGGACACUUGGAGGCCACGUGGAGGAAAGGGAUGGACAUCUCUGUCUUCAGCACACCUCCAGUGGGAGCUACCUGUGAAAGCUUUCCUUCACUUCUGCACUUGCAGCUGGAUCCCUGAGAAACUCCAAACUCCAUCCCACUGAUUUUCAGGAGCUCCUGGCCUCCUCCUGCCCUGCGCUCCCAGCCAGCUGGGACACACCGAGGGAACACCAAGGAGCAUCGCUGGCAGCAAGCAGGAGACACCGAGGCCUCUGGGCCAGAAGAACAGCCCUGGCCUCAGCAGCCACCAUCGCUUUGACCUGGCAACACUCACCUGCAGGAAACGCCCCCUGGCACUCUCCAGAAGAGCUUGGGCCACAGAGCAAGGUGACCCUCAGGACUUGUCUUGUUCGCUUCUUCCUGGGGAAACACAGGGACAUUGCAGGAGCACACGUACAGCUGCUGAGUAAAUCCUGGAGAGGGCAGAAAAAUCAGGGUUAUGGGGAAGAGUUGGUGCUGGCAUGCUGAGUGCCAGCCAGUUCUGCCCUACAGCCAUUGCAGGGGCUGGUGUGUAAAGCAGCAUUAGCAGAAGGGAAGGAGCUGCAUUUGUAGAGGAGUUCUCUUACUGGCAGCAAUCAUUCCCAUCCCACACAGGACCUUUGGAACAACCCUGGGACUGGCUCAGGUGUUUGGAGCAGGGUGCUGAGAAGGCCAAAAUUCUGUGUUCGAUGCACAGCUGGGCUGGUCACUGCUCAGCAUUUGACUCGAUGAUCCUCACGACUCUGGAAAUAAAGAAUAGUUUCCACUGGUUUUUUAACACGAGGGGUUUUUCCCUAGUGUUUCUCUGGGGCUCCAGUCCCACA